CAUAUCUUCAGCAGAGCAGUGACCAAAUGUGAACCUUCCUAGUCCACCUGGAAUCUAAUACGCUAGAUCAUUUUUUCUCAGUAAUCUAAAUGAAUUCAUAACUAUUCUCUCUGAAUCCAUCUAUUAGAAUAAUUUACAAGACAGUGUACUUCCCUUGACUUCUUGGCCUUCCUUAGAAUAACACUGGGAUGUUAGUUGGAUAUUUUCUAAUUCCCAAGUCUCUCCCCCUGGGGAGAACAAUGGAGUCUAGGAAAAGGACCUGUAACACAAACCUCAGAGAGGUUGCAGGUGUUUAAAAUACAUGAUACCUCCAAGGGCACAUCCCACACCCCACUCCCAGCACUGGAUGAGAUGUUCGCAGGAGCCUUGUGGUGGCUGAAACUCUCCAGCCACAGGCCGGCAGGUACGAAGAUAGGGCUGCUUCUUAGAUUCCAACUCCUGAAUGUCCUUCAUGAUUUUAUUUUUCUCCUAAGAUAUAUCUCCAUUUGUCUUAGUCAGUUUGAGCUGCUAUAACAGAACACCAUACACUGGAUGGCUUAAGCAACAAACAUUUAUUUCUCAUAGUUCUGGAGGCUGGGAAGUCCAAGAUCAAGGUGCUAGUCAAUUCACUGUUUGGUGAGAGCCCUCCUCCUGGUUUGCACAUGGCUACCUUCUUGCUAUAUCCUCACAUGGAGGAGGGAGAAAUCAUCUCUUUCUUGUCUCUUCUUAUAAAGGUAGUAAUCCCAUUCACGAGAGCUCCAGCUUCAUGGGCUAAUUACCUCCCAAAGGCCCCACCUCCAAACACCAUCACUUUGGGAAUUAGGAUUCAACAUAGGAAUUUAGAUGGGACACAAUCAUAUAGUCUGUAGCAUCAUUUGAUCACGUUACUACCAGUCCACACAAAGUUUCUUCUCUUAAUCCAUGACAAAUUUGAAAAAGGAGGAAGAAUUAGACUUUUGGUCUGAAGUGGGUAAAUAAACAUCUUGGCCCUAACAAUUGCAGGACCCAGCACAAGAGUAUAGACGGAGACUCUUAUACACCAUGAGCUGUGGGGCACUCAAUCCAAGCCAAGCAACUCUAGCCUACAAGGUGCUCCUGAUCUCUAACCUCUGCCAACAUCACACUUUUAAGGUUAGAAGGCCAGAUUGAACUAUAGAAUUCCCAGAUUUCUUAGAGUUCUAGACCAGAAUAUGGCAGCAUUGAGAGAGCCAGUCCCCUUUCACCCAGGCCCUGGACUGCAGCCUGCAUCUCUCCCUACUCUUCCCAUGCUGGGCUCCAUCCUAUGCUGCAAGGGACCUCCAGGACCAUGCGUGUGGACAUUCCAGCCAUCAAGUUCUAUACUCAUCUAUUUCUCAUGAGAGCACUUCCUCAGUAAAUGACUUACACAAGAAUCCACGUCUCAGGCUCUGCUUCCAUGGAUUUUGACCCAAGACAGAAGAGUAGCGAAAUACUGGAGCAACUGAUAGAAAAGGGAAUGGGAGAGAGGAGCAUUAAUUUGGACUUGCUUGGUAGAUACCAUCAAUCUUUUCCCAACAUAGUCUGAGUUCUCUUGGAGCACCCUUCACACAGAAUGAGUGUGAUCACAGCUAGAGGAGAAAACUGCAAGACACUGAAGAAGUAAGGCAUAUCAAGUACGUUUGAUCUAAAAUUGACUUUCUGAUGUCAGUUCUUCAACUAGAGAGCCAAAUGCCCAUUGAAAUAGUCCUAAGUGCAUUUUAUUGAGUGACCCAAAUUUUAAAAUCUAAGUACCUUUCAAACAUAGAUUGGAGAACCCAUGAGCACCUAGGGAUCAGCAAAACAUCCUCAACAAUUUUUCAAGUGUUUUAUUUUUGGCAAAACUCAAUUUAACUCAUUUUGCAAGCACUCUUCCCUUCAGUUUUUAAACCCUUGGGUAUUUCAAAGGAAAUUUAAUCCAUAUGUUUCUGAUUCAUUUACAUUUUAAGUCAUAAAAAUGUUAUUUUUAUAAGAGCUGUUUGAUAUCCAAGAAACUUUCUGAGCCUUUUAAAAAAUCUCUUUAAAGUCUUGUUAGUUGGAGCCAGGGAGCAGACAUGGUGUGUGAUGCACCACGCGAAAAUGUGAUCCAGACAGACUCAACCAUAGCCUGACCUCAGAACAAUGCUUACCACAUCCAGCCAAAAAAUAAUGGCAACGAGAUGAUCAAGACAGUUGGUCUGGACACCAGAGAAUCCUUGAGAAAUGUGAGAGAAGCCAAUGGCAAAUGAUAGCAAAGAUUAAAGCGGGAUUCAUCAGUGUGUCGUUGACGUGUUUGGGCAUAUAAGGACUAGACUAUCAUGCAUUACAGCAAGCUAUCACUCCUGGCAGCUUUCAGGAAUCUGCAGGCUUCUACAAGACUAAGUCCCAUAUCACCACCCAAAUACUUUAUGUGAAGAAAAUUGUGCCUUUUCUCAGCAUUGUAUAUAAUAAUAAAACAUCAAAA
This 2416-nucleotide long non-coding RNA is filed under the name Equus caballus (horse). RNAcentral's name for it is "lncRNA (ENSECAG00000047621.1)". Lineage: Eukaryota; Metazoa; Chordata; Mammalia; Perissodactyla; Equidae. The record is from RNAcentral.